GAUGAACGCUGGCGGCGUGCCUAAUACAUGCAAGUCGAGCGAACAGACGCUGCGCUUGCUGCUCUGACGUUAGGGGCGGACGGGUGAGUAACACGUGGAUACCCUACCUAUCAUACUGGGAUAACUUCGGGAAACCGGAGCUAAUACCGGAUGAUAUAUUGCACCGCGUGGUGCAAUAGUGAGAGUCGGUGUUGCUGUCACUUAUAGAUGGAUCCGGGCCGCAUUAGCGGGUUGGGAAGGUCACGGCUUACCAAGGCUAGGAUGCGUAGCCGACCGGAGAGGCUGAUCGCCCACACUGGAACUGAGCCACGGUCCAGACUCCUACGAGAGGCACCAGUCUGCAACCUUCCGCAGCGGGCGAAAGCAUUACGGAGCAACGCCACGUGAGUGACGAAGGUCCCCGGAUCGUAAAGACCUGUUAUGAGGGAAAAACAACUGUGUAAGUAACUAUGCCCGUCGUGACGGUACCUAAUCAGAAAGCCCCGGCUAACUACGUG
RNAcentral lists this ribosomal RNA (497 nucleotides) under uncultured bacterium. RNAcentral's name for it is "partial 16S ribosomal RNA". It matches the Rfam family "Bacterial small subunit ribosomal RNA", at positions 28 to 507 of the family's 1533-position model. The record is from RNAcentral.